GGACGAACGCUGGCGGCGUGCUUAACACAUGCAAGUCGAGCGGUAAGGCCCUUUCGGGGGUACACGAGCGGCGAACGGGUGAGUAACACGUGGGUGACCUGCCCUCAGCUCUGGGAUAAGCCUGGGAAACUGGGUCUAAUACCGGAUAUGACUCCAUGACGCAUGUUGUGGGGUGGAAAGCCUUGUGCGGCUGAGGAUGGGCCCGCGGCCUAUCAGCUUGUUGGUGGGGUGANGGCCUACCAAGGCGACGACGGGUAGCCGGCCUGAGAGGGCGACCGGCCGACACUGGGACUGAGACACGGCCCAGACUCCUACGGGAGGCAGCAGUGGGGAAUCUUGCGCAAUGGGCGAAAGCCUGACGCAGCGACGCCGCGUGAGGGAUGACGG
RNAcentral lists this ribosomal RNA (387 nucleotides) under uncultured bacterium. Its description in RNAcentral is "bacterial SSU rRNA". It matches the Rfam family "Bacterial small subunit ribosomal RNA", at positions 27 to 414 of the family's 1533-position model. The record is from RNAcentral.